UUACUAGGCAAUGCCUCGGGUGAGACAAUUAUUACUUUAUUCAUAACAAGAACUAACUUUACUUUAUAUAGAACAAAAAUAUAAAUACACUUAGACAAAAAGUAAGUGUUUCAAUCUCACUCCCCACAAACCAUGUUGGUGUGAUGUGCAAAGUUUUCAAAGUAUAAUUCAUGAAUUAGUGUCUAAACAACGAUAAAUAGAAAAGACUCGACUGUGAGAUUAUUAUUCACCAUGUUCAUUUGUUCUAACGUUUAAAACAAACUAUGGAUAUUAACUUAAAAAUAAAAAAUUUUAUUUGACUCAAAAAAUAAAAAUCCUAAAAUUUUACUUUCCCACCCCCAAACUUAUUUCACACUUUGUCCUCAAGGUGUGGAAUAUCAAAUAAACUAUAAAAGACAACAAAAUAAAAGAAAAUUAAAUUAAAGACAAAAAUGAAACCUGAACUAAACAUAACAAAUAAAAAAAACUAAAGAAAAGCCAAGGAAAGGUAACAAAAUAAAUAAAUAAUUAAAGAAAGGAACACAUGCACCUGGUGUGAAUAAUGACAUGAAGGGAUCCAAAGUCAUGAGGAGUCACACAUUGGGCCAUGAAAAACCAAGGAAAAACAUGAAGAAAAGCCCACGAAAGUAAAGACAAAGCAGCCCAGUGUGCUGUUCACAUGCAUUACAUACACGAGCACUAGAAACCCUCUCUCUAAAAUAAGCAUUGGAUGCUCUUGAUACAUUUGCCUCGAGCCAAGAGCCGAACUGCUCUUUUCUGUCCAUUCCCAUCCCUUUCUGAAUAAUAAUAAUGUUGUUUGUUGAAACCGAAGCCUCUCUCUGUGUCUAGAAAGUCAAAAAAUCAUCUCUUGUUGCUCUCAUUUCAAACCCAUCUAUUUCUGCUCUCUUUCUCUUCUUCAUUGCUCUAAAAAACGCAAGAGCCUUCUGUUUCUUUAGAAAACUAGCCUCAUCCUUUCUCCUAGCACAUUCGCACCAACGCCAAUUAUUACAACCCUUCUAUCUCACAGCAGCUCCUUCAUCCUCUCUAAGCGCUGCAUCCGUAGACUUCCAUAACCCAACAACAAACACACCUCUAUGAGUACCUAGCCGUGGUGGAGUGAGCUGAAAAGCUAAGAUGCUGAAGGUAAAAAUGAAGGAAAUUUUGUGAAAAACAUGUCAUUUGAGCAACAUCUAUGGCAUGCAAUUAACAAUUAAAGGUGGAAUCAUGCUUGUAUGCACUCAAACACAAAACAUUACCCAUGAAAUUCAAAGCCUAGUAGUUAUGUGAACCAAGACUCAACUCAAGAACAAAGUGAGUUG
Molecule: long non-coding RNA, 1298 nt
Filed under: Malus domestica (apple)
Lineage: Eukaryota; Viridiplantae; Streptophyta; Magnoliopsida; Rosales; Rosaceae
Description: long non-coding RNA (MDOM_LNC001981)
Source: RNAcentral